UUGAAUAUUGUGGGAAUAGGUGCUCUGAUAUACAAGUGUAUAUCACGAGCUUAAAAGGGAAGUCCGGUGUAAUGCCGGCGCGGUCCCGCCACUGUAACAGAGGAGUUUAUCUCAAUGAAGGCCACUGAUCCGCCAGGAUUGGGAAGGCAAGCAGAUAAACGUUGAUUCUGGAGCCAGGAGACCUGCCUGUUCUGACAGCACUGC
RNAcentral lists this non-coding RNA (204 nucleotides) under Paenibacillus pini. RNAcentral also lists the same sequence under 1 other name. Lineage: Bacteria; Bacillati; Bacillota; Bacilli; Caryophanales; Paenibacillaceae. The record is from RNAcentral.